CUGAAGCCUGCGGCGUCACCCGUGAGAUCGAUUUUCCAGAAGCAGCCACACCGAUGUUUCACCGCCGCCUCCGGAGCCACGCAAGGGCGGCGGGACAAGUUCAUGAUCUCCCAUACUGUAAUGGACUGCCAUCCCAUCAAAAGUGUCCCCACCAUCAUUCCCGGUGCUUCCCAAGACGGGCACCAGGAUCACUGUGUUUCUGCAUGGGACAAACAGUUAUGGAAGACGAGUUGAUGGCCAUCUCCUGUUACCGCCUCCUCAAAGGAGAACUCAUUUCAGAGUCCAAACCUGAGG
Long non-coding RNA from Paramormyrops kingsleyae, 294 nucleotides. RefSeq lists it as uncharacterized. Lineage: Eukaryota; Metazoa; Chordata; Actinopteri; Osteoglossiformes; Mormyridae. The record is from RefSeq and is a predicted model, not a curated record.